CCUACGGGAGGCAGCAGUGGGGAAUAUUGGACAAUGGGGGGAACCCUGAUCCAGCCAUGCCGCGUGUGUGAAGAAGGCCCGCGGGUUGUAAAGCACUUUCAGUGAGGAAGAACGCCUGGUGGUUAAUACCCAUCAGCAAAGACAUCACUCACAGAAGAAGCACCGGCUAACUCCGUGCCAGCAGCCGCGGUAAUACGGAGGGUGCGAGCGUUAAUCGGAAUUACUGGGCGUAAAGCGCGCGUAGGUGGCUUGAUAAGCCGGUUGUGAAAGCCCCGGGCUCAACCUGGGAACGGCAUCCGGAACUGUCAAGCUAGAGUGCAGGAGAGGAAGGUAGAAUUCCCGGUGUAGCGGUGAAAUGCGUAGAGAUCGGGAGGAAUACCAGUGGCGAAGGCGGCCUUCUGGACUGACACUGACACUGAGGUGCGAAAGCGUGGGUAGCAAACAGGAUUAGAUACCCCAGUAGUC
Molecule: ribosomal RNA, 465 nt
Filed under: Vreelandella stevensii
Lineage: Bacteria; Pseudomonadati; Pseudomonadota; Gammaproteobacteria; Oceanospirillales; Halomonadaceae
Description: partial 16S ribosomal RNA
Rfam family: Bacterial small subunit ribosomal RNA
Source: RNAcentral